This 502-nucleotide ribosomal RNA is filed under the name uncultured bacterium. RNAcentral's name for it is "bacterial SSU rRNA". It matches the Rfam family "Bacterial small subunit ribosomal RNA", at positions 17 to 509 of the family's 1533-position model. The record is from RNAcentral.
UCCUGGCUCAGGAUGAACGCUAGCUACAGGCUUAACACAUGCAAGUCAGGGGCAGCAUACUGAUAGCUUGCUAUCAGUGAUGGCGACCGGCGCACGGGUGAGUAACGCGUAUCCAACCUUCCCCGUAGUAGGGGCACAGCCCGGCGAAAAGUCGGAUUAAUUCCCUAUGUUCUCCAAUGCAGGCAUCUAAGUUGGAGCAAAGGUUUACCGCUAUGGGAUGGGGAUGCGUCUGAUUAGGUUGUCGGCGGGGUAACGGCCCACCGAGCCCGCGAUCAGUAGGGGUUCUGAGAGGAAGGUCCCCCACAUUGGAACUGAGACACGGUCCAAACUCCUACGGGAGGCAGCAGUGAGGAAUAUUGGUCAAUGGAGGCAACUCUGAACCAGCCAAGUAGCGUGCAGGAUGACGGCCCUAUGGGUUGUAAACUGCUUUAUAAGGGAAUAAAGGGUGCCACGUGUGGUGUUUGCAUGUACCUUAUGAAUAAGGACCGGCUAAUUCCGUGCC